GACGUAGGGUGCGAGCGUUGUCCGGAUUUAUUGGGCGUAAAGAGCUCGUAGGCGGCUCGUCGCGUCGACCGUGAAAACCCGCGGCUUAACUGCGGGCUUGCGGUUGAUACGGGCGGGCUAGAGUUCGGUAGGGGAGACUGGAAUUCCUGGUGUAGCGGUGAAAUGCGCAGAUAUCAGGAGGAACACCGGUGGCGAAGGCGGGUCUCUGGGCCGAUACUGACGCUGAGGAGCGAAAGCGUGGGGAGCGAUCAGG
This 253-nucleotide ribosomal RNA is filed under the name uncultured bacterium. RNAcentral describes it as "partial 16S ribosomal RNA". It matches the Rfam family "Bacterial small subunit ribosomal RNA", at positions 524 to 776 of the family's 1533-position model. The record is from RNAcentral.